GCAGUCGCCGCGGUAAUACGAAGGGUGCAAGCGUUAAUCGGAAUUACUGGGCGUAAAGCGUGCGUAGGCGGUUUGUUAAGUCUGUUGUGAAAUCCCCGGGCUCAACCUGGGAAUGGCAAUGGAUACUGGCAAGCUAGAGUGUGUCAGAGGAUGGUGGAAUUCCCGGUGUAGCGGUGAAAUGCGUAGAGAUCGGGAGGAACAUCAGUGGCGAAGGCGGCCAUCUGGGACAACACUGACGCUGAGGCACGAAAGCGUGGGGAGCAAACAGGAUUAGAUACCCGAGUAGUCCCUGUCUCUUAUAC
This 302-nucleotide ribosomal RNA is filed under the name uncultured bacterium. RNAcentral's name for it is "partial 16S ribosomal RNA". It matches the Rfam family "Bacterial small subunit ribosomal RNA", at positions 508 to 807 of the family's 1533-position model. The record is from RNAcentral.